GACGAACGCUGGCGGCGUGCCUAAUACAUGCAAGUCGAACGCUGAAGAGAGGAGCUUGCUCUUCUUGGAUGAGUUGCGAACGGGUGAGUAACGCGUAGGUAACCUGCCUUGUAGCGGGGGAUAACUAUUGGAAACGAUAGCUAAUACCGCAUAACAAUGGAUGGCACAGGUCAUUUAUUUGAAAGGGGCAAUUGCUCCACUACAAGAUGGACCUGCGUUGUAUUAGCUAGUAGGUGAGGUAACGGCUCACCUAGGCGACGAUACAUAGCCGACCUGAGAGGGUGCUCGGCCACACUGGGACUGAGACACGGCCCAGACUCCUACGGGAGGCAGCAGUAGGGAAUCUUCGGCAAUGGGGGCAACCCUGACCGAGCAACGCCGCGUGAGUGAAGAAGGUUUUCGGGUCGUAAAGCUCUGUUGUAAGUCAAGAACGAGUGUGAGAGUGGAAAGUUCACACUGUGACGGUAGCUUACCAGAAAGGGACGGCUAACUACGUG
This 497-nucleotide ribosomal RNA is filed under the name uncultured bacterium. RNAcentral describes it as "partial 16S ribosomal RNA". It matches the Rfam family "Bacterial small subunit ribosomal RNA", at positions 28 to 507 of the family's 1533-position model. The record is from RNAcentral.